Molecule: ribosomal RNA, 381 nt
Filed under: uncultured eukaryote
Lineage: Eukaryota
Description: partial 18S ribosomal RNA
Rfam family: Eukaryotic small subunit ribosomal RNA
Source: RNAcentral
UGAAGCGUAUACCAAAGUUGUUGCAGUUAAAACGCUCGUAGUCGGAAUUUGGCAGUUCCGGAUGUGUGCACGUCGUGUGCGCACUUCGCGGGGAUUGCUUUUGUGGUCUUGCGUAGGAUGAGGCACUUUUAUUAGUGAACGUCCUCACGCAACCACUUUUUACUGUGAGAAAAUCAGAGUGCUCAAAGCAGGCAUCUGCCGUGAAUGUAUUAGCAUGGAAUAAUAGAAUAGGACUUGGUUCUAUUUUGUUGGUUUGUUGGGACUGAGUAAUGAUUAAGAGGGACAGUUGGGGGCAUUUGUAUUUCGGUGCUAGAGGUGAAAUUCUUAGAUUACCGAAAGACAAACUGCUGCGAAAGCGUCUGCCAAGGAUGUUUUCAUUGA